UUAUGGUAAAACCUAUAAUAAAUAUUAAUUUUAGUUCUUUAAGAAAUUUUUACUAACUUGAUUUUUUGGCUAAUUCAAAAAAAUAUUUCAUCAAAGACACCAAAAGAGUGCGUAGUUUUCUGAUAUAAUAUAGAUAUAUCAGCUUCCUCCUCAUGUCUAAAUGUGUAAUAGGUAUCAAAUUCAUGAGAGUAGUAAAUGAGCUGCAAUAUAAUAGACUAGAGAAUGAGCCAAGUAUACCUCAUUUGAAACUUCAAAUUUCAGAUUCUCAAAACUAAAGACGUUCGAUCUCUUGCUUUCCUUAUAGUUUUAGGGGGUUAUCGGAAAUGCCAAUUCUUGAAGAUUUGGAAGAAAAUAUAUACACCGUAUUCGAUCUUGUGCUUUGCAUGUGCCUCCUCAUGUCUUAUCUUCAUGAAGGACCGCUCGACCCACUCAUGGUAUCAAGUCGGUGCGAACUCAGUGAGCCAAAGAGAACGAGUCGGAUGAUGACUAGGGCAGUAAUGGUGGUGACCACGUGAGGCUUACGUAGCCUAGAUAUUGGCGUAAAGUGGCUUGGGUUGGGCUGUUUGGGUUUUGAGGCCCACGUUUUCGAUUUUUUCGUAGUGGCGUGUCCCGCGAAACCGAUUUUCUUUUGGGCCAAUUACAUAUAAGUCCACUUUGAGACAUUUUUUCCCACAUAGAUCCACCCUAACAUUUUUACCCACAUAAGUCCACCCAAGUCUAAAUAAGGUUUUGUAUUAAGUAUUGAAGUUCAACAUAAUUACAGACUGCCAUCCAACAAAAAAAAUUAGAUUUUCUUCCUUAUAUUUACAAGAAUGCUACUAGUAUAAAAAGUCAACAACCACUCUCAUUUCGGAACAGUCUCCGGCGGACCUCCAGCGAGAUUUCCAGCAGACCUCCGGCGAGGUUUCAGGCGGACCUCCGGCGAGGUUUUCGGCCGACGUCCGGCGAGAUUUCCGACUGACCUCCGGCGAGGUUUCCGUUCGACUUCCGACGAUGACAAAAAUUACUACUACCAGCUAUAAAAGCUACUACCACCAGCUACAAAAGCUACUACCACCGCCUACAAAAGAUACUACUGUGAGGUUUCCGAUGAACACAAAAGCUACUACCACUAGCCACAAAAACUACUACCACAAGCUACAAAAGCUACUACCACCGCCUACAAAAGCUACUACUGUGAGGUUUCCGACGAACACAAAAACUACUACCACCAGCUACAAAAGCUAUUACCACCGCCUACAAAAGCUACUACCACCGCCUACAAAAGCUACUACUGUGAGGUUUUCGACGAACACAAAAACUACUAGCACCAGCCACAAAAGCUACUACCACCAGCUACAAAAGCUACUAUCACCGCCUACAAAAGCUACUAUUGUGAGGUUUCCGACGAACACAAAAAAUACUACCAUCAGCCACAAAAGCUACUACCACCGCCUACAAAAGCUACUACCACCGCCUACAAAAGCUACUACCGCUACCAACAUAACGCUACCAACAAAAGCUACUACCGAGAUAAACAAAAGCUACUACCGAGAUAAACAAAAGCUACCACCAACAUAAACAAAAGCUACUACCCCUAUAUACAAAAGCUACCACCACAACAAAAGUUAUUACCGACAUAAACAAAAGCUAUUACCAACAUAAACAAAAGCUAUUACCAACAUAAACAAAAGCUACUACCCCUAUAUACAAAAACUACUACUGCCAGACAUAAAAGCUAUUGCCUCCAUCAAUAUAAGCUACUACCGUUACCAACAAAAAAUACUACUCUAACUAACAAAAGCUACUGCUGUCACUGACAAAAACUACUACAAGAUAUUUACUCAACCAUAAAAACAAACAAACAAUUAUUAGAAGAUUAAAGCUUAAGCAUAAAAGGAAAUCAAGAGAAUUGCAGAUCGGAUCCGGCGGCCGACGACGACAGAAAAGACGUCGCUCCGUCGACGGAGCUCCCAUCUUCGCUCGCUGCGGAUGAUGAGUCACGAAAUUCCUCAGCGUUUGACCGAUCAGAAAUACGAUCGAACGCGACUGAUUGGAGAUGAUGAAGGAUGCCUCGCUAGGUCUGCAUUUCUGAGAUCGAAGGACACCUCGUUAGGUCGGCAUAUCCGAGAUCCCAUAGGACUAAACGUAGCGACGACGUUGAGGCCUUCCUCGAGAUUGACGUCGUUCUCCUUGACCGGUGUGCCUCUCAACCAAACCUUCUUCGUCGAGGCCAUCGCUGCCUACCGGAUUAGAUCAUCCACAUCAUUGUUGAGAUCCAGAUCGUCGGCGUCAACUUUAUGGAUCACGCAGAUGCAAAGAUCGCCGUUGCGGUGUCCUUGAGCACGGCGGAGCCACCGUCUCGGUUGACCAUCGUAUGUUUGAGAGAGAGAAAGAGAGGUGUGCGGCGGCGACGUCGUCGGAAUCGGAGGUGGAAGAAUAAGGAGAGAGAAGUCGAGCGAAAGGCAGAAAGAGAAAGGAGAGGGAGAGAGAGAGGUGUGUGAGAGGGAUAAAUUUUUAGUACAGGGGUAAAAUAGUCAGGAUGUAAUAAUUUGAGAAAGAAAAGUGGACUUAUCUGGGUAAAAAAAUCAGAGUGAACUUGUGUGGGAGAAAAUACGGAGAAUGUGACUUAAAUGAAAUUUUCUAUUUUCUUUUCACGUGGGGCCAGCGCGUGACCAAGACCUACAAGUUGUUCAAAGACCUACAAGUUGAACACUUUUGGGGGAAGAAGAUGGAGGCAUAGUUGGGUGAUGCAUGGUCCUCUGUGCAUUUCAGAAAAGAUCGAUCCCACUCUUCUUUUUACAGAACCAUGCAUGUGCCCUCUUAUAUCACUUUCUUCUUGCAUUAUUGGGUGGUGCUUGCUUAGAUGCAUCAAUGCAUUAGAAACUUGAUCAACGUUGAUGAAUAUGUAUAUGUAUGUCACUAACUCUAAAGUAUGUUUUAAUUAAACCUGAUUUAGCUGACAUGAUCUCUCGAUGUGAAUUAGUCUGGGUCUAAAAAGAAGAUACUGACGUUGAUAAUCUAAAAAAAAAAUUAAACCUGGUUUAGUGCAUACUCUUUGUACUUUGCUCUAAAAUAGGAGCGCUAUUUUAUAUUUUUUUUCAGCUGUCUUCACUUAUCUUUUCUAAUAAAUAGCAAACGAAUGCGCACCAUUGUGAGAUCACGCUAGCCUAAUUUUCUUCUCGAGUUUAUCUAGCUUUUCUCUCAAUACCUCUCUAUCGCUGACAUUGAGCUAGCUAGCAGUUGAGACUCAGUCUCCUUGUAUUCUUUGUUAAAUACUUCACUAUCUACUCUCUAUUGCUACACCCAAAACAAAAGUUGAACUUACACCAUA
This 3313-nucleotide long non-coding RNA is filed under the name Fragaria vesca (wild strawberry). RNAcentral's name for it is "long non-coding RNA (FVES_LNC002182)". The record is from RNAcentral. Lineage: Eukaryota; Viridiplantae; Streptophyta; Magnoliopsida; Rosales; Rosaceae.